GACAGAGGGUGCAAACGUUGCUCGGAAUCACUGGGCGUAAAGGGUGCGUAGGCGGGUCUUUUAAGUCAGGGGUGAAAUCCUGGAGCUCAACUCCAGAACUGCCUUUGAUACUGAGGAUCUUGAGUUCGGGAGAGGUGAGUGGAACUGCGAGUGUAGAGGUGAAAUUCGUAGAUAUUCGCAAGAACACCAGUGGCGAAGGCGGCUCACUGGCCCGAUACUGACGCUGAGGCACGAAAGCGUGGGGAGCAAACAGGG
This 255-nucleotide ribosomal RNA is filed under the name uncultured bacterium. RNAcentral's name for it is "partial 16S ribosomal RNA". It matches the Rfam family "Bacterial small subunit ribosomal RNA", at positions 524 to 777 of the family's 1533-position model. The record is from RNAcentral.